GAUGAACGCUGGCGGCGUGCCUAAUACAUGCAAGUCGAGCGAACAGACGAGGAGCUUGCUCCUCUGACGUUAGCGGCGGACGGGUGAGUAACACGUGGAUAACCUACCUAUAAGGCUGGGAUAACUUCGGGAAACCGGAGCUAAUACCGGAUAAUAUAUUGAACCGCAUGGUUCAAUAGUGAAAGACGGUUUUGCUGUCACUUAUAGAUGGAUCCGCGCCGCAUUAGCUAGUUGGUAAGGUAACGGCUUACCAAGGCAACGAUGCGUAGCCGACCUGAGAGGGUGAUCGGCCACACUGGAACUGAGACACGGUCCAGACUCCUACGGGAGGCAGCAGUAGGAAAUCUUCCGCAAUGGGCGAAAGCCUGACGGAGCAACGCCGCGUGAGUGAUGAAGGUCUUCGGAUCGUAAAACUCUGUUAUUAGGGAAGAACAAAUGUGUAAGUAACUAUGCACGUCUUGACGGUACCUAAUCAGAAAGCCACGGCUAACUACGUG
This 497-nucleotide ribosomal RNA is filed under the name uncultured bacterium. Its description in RNAcentral is "partial 16S ribosomal RNA". It matches the Rfam family "Bacterial small subunit ribosomal RNA", at positions 28 to 507 of the family's 1533-position model. The record is from RNAcentral.